This is a non-coding RNA of Planococcus sp. PAMC 21323, 183 nucleotides long. It matches the Rfam family "6S / SsrS RNA". Rfam says of the family: E. coli 6S RNA was the first non coding RNA to be sequenced, but its function was unknown until recently. It consists of 184 nucleotides that fold into an extended hairpin structure with a large single-stranded internal bulge. The 6S RNA specifically associates with RNA polymerase holoenzyme containing the sigma70 specificity factor. NCBI's taxonomy places the organism in Bacteria, Bacillati, Bacillota, Bacilli, Caryophanales, Caryophanaceae. The record is from Rfam.
AGAAUCCUGAUGUGUUCGUUUUAAGCAAUUCGAUUUUGACCCAACAUUAUGUCGUCGGGAGAUCGCAUUUUACCAUGGCUAACAUGCCUUAACGGGAAGUUAUAAGUGGUGAAGAGGUCACCCACCUGCUUUCAGCGGGUUCAAACGAUGCGCAACAACAAAGACGGCACGAUUGGGAUUCUU